AAGAAAGGUGGAUACACACAAAGAAAGCAGCAUGACAUGAGCGUUGAGUCUUCAAGCCAGGACGAAACAACUCGGGAAUUUUUUCAUUUCAACUUCGGUUACGUUUUUACUUCUGCUGCUUCAAAAGCAUUUCUUCGGGAAUGAUUCAGGGACUGAUACUCGUAUGUAUGGCACUUCCCUUUGCGCGCAGAACGGACGCCGAAGACACAUCCACAGGAGAUUUAAUAGAGUGCCAACGAGGUCAAAAGCGAAUAGUUCAUCUAGGAGGCUUGGAGAUGCAUCGAUGACAGCACCCCUACCAGAGAGGCAGCUCGUGGGUGCGAUAGUGAGGUUGCGAUGACGAUCAUGGCGCAUUGCAUUAGGGCUCAUAUGUUCGAGAUAGCGCCUGUAAGCUACAAGUACGCAGUACUGAGGUACCUAGAUGACCUUGUGGUGUGCAUGGCGGAGUUUCUGCAACGGCCACUAGCGUACUUGCAAAGAGCUUUUCAAAGCACUAUAUGAGCCGACGGCGACGAGACCGUUGCCGAACACGCGGGCCGCGUCAACGAAUGCACUCUACUCGGCAUUGGUUGCCGAUUGCGAAUUGUGACUGGACGUACCCACCACCGAACUUACAGUGACUUUGUAUUAAAUCCUCGACUCAU
Molecule: non-coding RNA, 644 nt
Organism: Dermacentor albipictus
Lineage: Eukaryota; Metazoa; Arthropoda; Arachnida; Ixodida; Ixodidae
Source: RefSeq, a predicted model, not a curated record